UUUCGCCAUUGAACAUUGCUGGUAAGGGGGCACCUGGCACCUACCCCGGUUACCAUGGGAACAUUUGGAUUGGCUCGAGCGGCUCGCUCCGAAAAAGAACAGGCAGCGGAACGGCAGUGACGUGUAGAAAACGAAAUCAAUGACUCGAUGUGACGUCACUUCUAUUUAUAGAGCCUGCAUUUUAAGAUCUCUCCCUAUCUAUCUAUCCAUCCAUCCAUCCAUCAUCCAUCCAUCCUGAAUAUUCCUCUCUCUGGGCCUAUUGAUAGCAGAUAUUGAUGAAUUACAGUUUCCCUUGGAAUUACUAUUAAUCUUCUCAUCAUUCCUAUCACCCAUCUCCUCCCACUUAUAACUAUAUGACUGUAACCUUGUUGCUGGUAUCCUUAAGAUUUAUAUUGACUGUUUCCCUAUGACUAAGUGUUGUACUUUAUGAUUCUUGACGAAUGUAUCUUAUUUUAUGUACACCCAGAGCGUAUGCACCAAGACAAAUUGUGUGUCCAAUCACACUUGGCCAAUAAAAAAUUCUAUUCUAUUCUA
Molecule: long non-coding RNA, 534 nt
Organism: Pantherophis guttatus
Lineage: Eukaryota; Metazoa; Chordata; Lepidosauria; Squamata; Colubridae
Source: RefSeq, a predicted model, not a curated record